Oreochromis niloticus (Nile tilapia) is the source of this 813-nucleotide long non-coding RNA. RefSeq lists it as uncharacterized. NCBI's taxonomy places the organism in Eukaryota, Metazoa, Chordata, Actinopteri, Cichliformes, Cichlidae. The transcript has 3 exons. The record is from RefSeq and is a predicted model, not a curated record.
UCUUUGUUUAUUUUAAAUGCUGUCAUUGGUUUUUAUUUAUUUCCAACUUAUUAACAAAAUGAACUUGGUCUACAUUGUUUUGUUCACUUGAAUAAAACGACAUUUUUGUAUCGUACUCUGGGUUCUUGAAGACCACGCUGUCUUUUAACUUUAUUCUUUAUUUUCUGCAUAUACUGUUCUUUAUUCAUUUCUUUAUUCUUUGAGGCGGUUCUCCUGCCAUUCAGUGUUCCUAGUGCAGAGUCUGCAUUUCUGUGUCCUAUCUUUAGUUGGUUACUGCUUUAUAUUGUUGACCUCUAGGCUUUUGUGCACUUGCUUUUACUUCAACUGGUCAUACUUGUUUGAUUCAAUUCACCUGUGUCUUGUUUCUCCCAGCUGCGUCCUCUCUCCCUAAUCAACUUGCGCAAGUUCUUAAGCCUUCAGCUUUCCUCAGCUCUCUACUCUGUUGUUAUGUUUCAAGCUGUACACUUUGUUUGUCUACCUUAUGGCUUCCUGUGCGUUAGUUUUGGAACUUUUUUCUCCUCACUGUGGUUUUGCCGCACCCAUAUUUAAGCUUUGGAGUUUUCCGCCAACAGCACCGGGGUGGACCAGUGCGCAGGCGAAGAGGCGGGAGAACCACACAUCGCCAGUUAACUUUUAAGGUGUCAGUUCUAAGGAAUCCGACACUGACCCACUACCGAUCUCAUCGGGAUGCCACUCCUGCUACUCGGGUGGUCGUUCCUGUAAACCUAAAUGCCGCUGAAUUCAUGCAGGCACUACGGGACAAUAUUGCAGACAUACCUUUGCAGUUCGACCUAUGCAAAGUGAAUGGACAGC